GAAUUACUCUUAAUUAAUUAGUGAAAAGGAAUAAGUUUUAAUUUGGGUAAGAUUAUCUGUGGAAAGAAAUAAAAGGUGAAUAUAUAUGUUGCGUUACGUUACAGAGGAAGUUGGAGGAGAAGAGAGCGAAAGCAUUAGAAAAGAUGCAAAACGACAUAGCAAAAGCCCGAAGAAAAGCAGAAGAAAGAAGGGCAUCGGCUGAGGCAACGAGGGGAACAAAAGUGGCAAGAGUUCUUGAGAUAGCCAACCUCAUGAGAGCUGUGGGCAGAGCUCCUGUCAAGCGUUCCUUCUUCUAGGCCGGGGUGACCCUUUUCUCAUUUUUACCACUCACUGGGUACCCUAUUUUGCCUUAGCUAGCUAGCUUGAUGAAAAAGAUGAGAAUUGAAGAAGAUUAUUAGGAAUAUAAUGGAGUACGAACGUGCAUGAAAUGAAAGUGUGUGCAGUGCUAGCUAGCUAGCUAGCUUGUUGAUCGAUCUGUGAGUGUUGAGUCUUGGUUUGGUUUGGUUUGUACAGAUUUUUGGAUACCAUCCACAUGUAAUUUCUAAACACUUUGUUUGGUUGGUCCAUUAUAUGACUCAUCUCAUCAUCACCAUUAUAUUCUUUUCGGUUUGAAUUGGAUGGCAUUUUGUAUUUUCUGAUUUUAGUUAUACAUUAUAUUUGUAGGAUUAUAUUGUACUUGGCAACGAACAUAGAUUUUUAUUUUAUAAUGUCUUUGGAAA
Long non-coding RNA from Ipomoea triloba (trilobed morning glory), 719 nucleotides. RefSeq lists it as uncharacterized. Lineage: Eukaryota; Viridiplantae; Streptophyta; Magnoliopsida; Solanales; Convolvulaceae. The transcript has 2 exons. The record is from RefSeq and is a predicted model, not a curated record.